This 483-nucleotide ribosomal RNA is filed under the name uncultured bacterium. RNAcentral's name for it is "bacterial SSU rRNA". It matches the Rfam family "Bacterial small subunit ribosomal RNA", at positions 368 to 842 of the family's 1533-position model. The record is from RNAcentral.
ACAAUGGGCGAAAGCCUGAUGGAGCAACGCCGCGUGGGUGAAGAAGGUCUUCGGAUCGUAAAACCCUGUUGUUAGAGAAGAAAGUGCGUGAGAGUAACUGUUCACGUUUCGACGGUAUCUAACCAGAAAGCCACGGCUAACUACGUGCCAGCAGCCGCGGUAAUACGUAGGUGGCAAGCGUUAUCCGGAUUUAUUGGGCGUAAAGGGAACGCAGGCGGUCUUUUAAGUCUGAUGUGAAAGCCUUCGGCUUAACCGGAGUAGUGCAUUGGAAACUGGGAGACUUGAGUGCAGAAGAGGAGAGUGGAACUCCAUGUGUAGCGGUGAAAUGCGUAGAUAUAUGGAAGAACACCAGUGGCGAAAGCGGCUCUCUGGUCUGUAACUGACGCUGAGGUUCGAAAGCGUGGGUAGCAAACAGGAUUAGAUACCCUGGUAGUCCACGCCGUAAACGAUGAAUGCUAAGUGUUGGAGGGUUUCCGCCCUUCA